UACGUAGGGUGCAAGCGUUGUCCGGAAUCAUUGGGCGUAAAGCGCGCGUAGGUGGCUUCGUAAGUCCGUUGUGAAAGCCAAAGGCUCAACCUUUGAAAGCCGAUGGAUACUGCGGAGCUAGAGUACGGAAGAGGCGAGUGGAAUUCCUGGUGUAGCGGUGGAAUGCGCAGAUAUCAGGAGGAACACCAAUAGCGAAGGCAGCUCGCUGGGACGUUACUGACACUAAGGCGCGAAAGCGUGGGGAGCGAACAGG
Molecule: ribosomal RNA, 253 nt
Filed under: uncultured bacterium
Lineage: Bacteria
Description: partial 16S ribosomal RNA
Rfam family: Bacterial small subunit ribosomal RNA
Source: RNAcentral